RNAcentral lists this long non-coding RNA (205 nucleotides) under Hordeum vulgare. RNAcentral describes it as "long non-coding RNA (HVUL_LNC019640)". Lineage: Eukaryota; Viridiplantae; Streptophyta; Magnoliopsida; Poales; Poaceae. The record is from RNAcentral.
CGAACGAACAACGCCUCCCCGUUCAACACACGUACAGCCCGGGGACGUCUCCUCCUUCUUGAUCCAGCAAGGGGGAAGGAGAAGUUUAGGGAGAGCUCCGGCAACACGACGGCAUGCUGGCGGUCGAGCUCGUGGUUGUCCGGCAGAGCUUCGCUAAGCUCAAUGGAGGAGGAUGUGUAGGGGGGUAGGGCUGCGCCAAGUGGAG